Molecule: ribosomal RNA, 491 nt
Filed under: uncultured bacterium
Lineage: Bacteria
Description: partial 16S ribosomal RNA
Rfam family: Bacterial small subunit ribosomal RNA
Source: RNAcentral
GAUGAACGCUAGCUACAGGCUUAACACAUGCCAGUCGAGGGGAAACGACAUUGAAGCUUGCUUCGAUGGUCGUCGACCGGCGCACGGGUGAGUAACGCGUAUCCAACCUGCCUCUGACCAAGGGAUAACCCGUCGAAAGUCGGCCUAAUACCUUAUGCAGUCGUCGGAAGUCAUCUGAUGACGAUGAAAGAUUUCAUCGGUGAGAGAUGGGGAUGCGUCUGAUUAGCUUGUUGGCGGGGUAACGGCCCACCAAGGCAACGAUCAGUAGGGGUUCUGAGAGGAAGGUCCCCCACAUUGGAACUGAGACACGGUCCAAACUCCUACGGGAGGCAGCAGUGAGGAAUAUUGGUCAAUGGGCGAGAGCCUGAACCAGCCAAGUAGCGUGCAGGAUGACGGCCCUAUGGGUUGUAAACUGCUUUUAUGCGGGGAUAAAGUGAGGGACGUGUCCUUCAUUGCAGGUACCGCAUGAAUAAGGACCGGCUAAUUCCGUG